Long non-coding RNA from Pteropus alecto (black flying fox), 3274 nucleotides. RefSeq lists it as uncharacterized. The record is from RefSeq and is a predicted model, not a curated record. The transcript has 2 exons. Lineage: Eukaryota; Metazoa; Chordata; Mammalia; Chiroptera; Pteropodidae.
UUUUGCCUCCCUCAAAUCAUUUCCCAUUUACUUUGAUGAUAGAUCCCAUUUUUCUGUUGGAAUGCUACUCUUUCUGUGAUGUUUGUGGAACUAUAAAUUACAGUAUUCUGGCCUUGUACCCCCCUGACUGAGAUUUGAUCAUGUGCUUAAAGCUUAUCCAAUCAAAUUUCCCCUCCCACCAGGACUUUGAGUCUUAAGAGAGAUGACACAAGCAAAAUAAUAGGAGCUGAGUUAUUCCGAUGGUAGUGUCCCAAGGAAAGCAUAAGAGUUGGUGCAAGGACAUCCCCAAAAGUUCCCUGGAUCCUGUUGUCAAAGCCUAGUUAUUCAGAUUUUCCUUUGAUUCUGUAGACUAUCAUAUAUUCUUAUGUUCCCUUUUUGUUUGUAUGCAGGUUUCUGUCGCUUGCAACCAAAUGACAUUGAUUUCAGAAGCUGAUAAUAGAGUUAAAUAAUAGUAGAUUUCAGACCCUCAGGAACAUGGAGGAUCUGGAAUUGAUUAUUGCAUUGAGACUGAAUUAAAGGCAAUAACUGUUGCUCUAUGUCCCUGGAGAGUGAGGAGGUUGUGUAUGCAAUUUAUAUUGGCAAAACAGCAAGUAAAGAUACUUCCCCUUGUCAUUUGGAAUCAUAUGACUAUUGCAGGCAGAAUUUGGAUAGCCAGCUCGUUGUUGACAAUGGGACAAUUGGAAGUAGAUAAGACCAUUGAGUUAGGAUAGUUUCUUGGAUUACAUUGGAUAAUUUAAAAUGAGAGGACAAGGUUAGACCCAGAAACAGGUCUGUAGGCAUAGAGUAAAAUCUAGGGCCUUUCUGUGUCUUGGAUGAAUGAAUCUCUUCAUGCUUAAUUCUAAAACUACGCCUUAGAGAUUGAUUCCACAAAUUUAGAAAUUACAGUGCUGAUUGAAUUUGCAGCUUUACUGCAAACUUAAAGGGACUGACUGAUGGACUUUUGAUAUCUGGAAGGAGUCAAAAGACAUGGGAAAUCCCAAUCCCUAUAUAUCUCAGAAGUAAAAGUUUGGGUUUUCCUGUUAGUCAAAAACCCUUGGCUGAAGAAAAUAUACAGAAUCUAUAGUGAAGGAGGAAGAGAGAAGUACCAAAUACAGCCCUGUGACUUGUUGCAGAAAUAAGGUCUAUAUUAUAGACUUUACCCAUAUCUCUUUGUUUACCUCGUUUUUUUUUUUUUUUAUCCUUCUUCUUUCUCCAUUUUAGUACUUUGCGUCUCACUUCCUGGCUGAAGUUUAAAUAUGAUCCAAGUUAAUGUAAUCAGAUUUACCCUCGAUUCAAAUAGACAUUCUGCUGGCACUGUGCCUUCACUAAUAUAUGUGAAUAUGUUGGUGAUGGUUAAAUAUAGCAGUAAAUCCAUAAUUGUAGAUUAUCAAGAUGAGGUUAAGAACUAGAGUAGGAUGAAUAUCACCUAGAAAUCCUAGACUUGACACUGGAUGUGAUAACGAAAUUAUUUUAGGUUAUCUUCCUUGGGAAGAAAAUGAAUCCAUUUCCUGCAGUAUGUUGAAUGGAGGCAUUUCUAAAAUUGUUCAUGUUGAAGAAUGCAUUGCUGGACAGCCGAAGAAUAGAACCUAGUGGACAUCUGCAUUUAUUUGCCUACCCAGGUCUUUUUCCUCCUCCUUUGGGAAUAACACUUCACCUUUCCUUUGAGAAGCUACCCUUCUCCCACGCUACCAAAAGAUAAUAUGUAAGAAGCAUAGGAGUUCCUGUUACUGAGAUUUCCUCAGUUGCCCAGGUUCCUGAUUUUCUUGAAUGAUAAACUCUAAUUUCGUGAACUGCCUCAUAUCCUUUCAGUGGAUUACAUUGGUUAGGCAGGCUGCUACAUAUGGCUGUACAAGGUUUCCCCUGUACAACCAUAUGCAGAGGCCCUGUAGCCAGCCUUGAUUUUUGUUCCUUUCAGUCAGAGACCCUAACUGAAUCACUGUCCUUCCUAUGCGUUAGGCCUUCUUGCCCCAUAGACUCUGAAAAAUCUCAUCUCUUCCCAUGGCUUUAGUUUCCAACUGUUGAUAGCUUCCAGAUUCCUGUCUUCAGCACAGACGUAUUUCUUGAGUUCCAGAUCUGAAUGUCCACCUUUCAUCUGGAUAUUCCCCUGCUUGAUUAGCACAUAGAUACCUCACAUUGACCCCAUUAUUUUUCCUUCAAAAUUCUGUUCUCCCAGUGUUCCCAUUUCUUGAUAAACAACACCACCCUUCAUCUUGUUUCUCAAACCAGAACAUGCUCAUUAUUCUUGAUGCUUCCUUACCUUCUUUCUCACCCAGGCAUCCCUAUGAAUCAUUAAAUUCUUUUGGUGUGUAAAUAUACCUCAAAACCAUCUUCACUUCUAUCACCCUUGCUAGGACUAUUGCAAAGCCCUUCUAGUAGUGUCACUGCCUCUACUGUUGUCCUACUACAGUCUGUUCUUUACAGAGCAUCUAGAAUAAUCUUUAAUAGAUCUGAUUGUGUCACGUCUGUGCCUAAAACUCUUUAAUAGUUCCCCAAGUUGUUUCAGAAUAUCAUCUAAACUUUUAUUCUGGAACUUUACCCUUGUUUACAAGGUUCUUCAUUAUUUUGCUUUUCAGGCCUCAUCUUUCACCACUCCAAACAUGGCAGUUCAUUUUUACAUAUUGGAGUUACCUGUAAUAUUUCAUUUGAAAAAGGAUUCUACCUUUUUUAAAAAGAAGGGUUGCCAUCCUGAACUGUCUGGCCUUCAAGGCUGAGGGAAAGUAGCUGAAAUCAGACCUAAUCGUUAGGUCAGGGAAAUGGGCUGAAGCCAGAUUUCAUCAAGCAGCAAGCACUCAGAGCCUGUGGAGCCCUGGGCUCAUCCUUGUCAUUCUCCUGAGACAACGAUAAUGGAACAGAAACAUCCCAGUCACACUUGCAAGACUCAACGACUGGCCUCUUUGAACAGGAGCUCUGAUUUCUUGAGUUCUGAAGAUGCCUGGGAAUGUUUGGCGUUGGGGAGAAGAAAGUUUGUUCGGAGAAAGUAUUCAAGUGCAGACGCUGUUUUACGUGGUCCAGGACUCGGGAAGACAUACACAGAUCGGGGCUUCACAGCCUUCAGGGUUGGUAUGGGGAUAGGAUGUGGGACAGGGAGUUGUGAGUACGGGAGGACCAAUGAACUCAGACGAUACGCUGGUCACAAAGAUUGGUUGACAUGCUCAGAAGACAGCAGUGACAGUCCUCAAAGCAGCAUUCAACUUCCAUCUCAUCUUCGGAACACAUGGAUUGUAGUGUGCUAUGACUUAACAUUUUAAAAUAAAUCCUCUGGUUCUCUUGUGGCCAGUACAAUUGCAUUGCAGUA